Haliotis rubra (blacklip abalone) is the source of this 189-nucleotide long non-coding RNA. RefSeq lists it as uncharacterized. The transcript is spliced from 2 exons. NCBI's taxonomy places the organism in Eukaryota, Metazoa, Mollusca, Gastropoda, Lepetellida, Haliotidae. The record is from RefSeq and is a predicted model, not a curated record.
UGAGAUUUGAUAUUUACACGACACUUUAUAGGGAGGUUACUGAUCUUACUGAACCUAUUUCAUCUGACUAACAAGGCGGACUCCUGGUAUGACAAUAUUAUUGCUGCUGGGGUUUAUGAUUCCGUAUUACCAAACCGUAAACUCUGCUGGUGGUCACAGUAGCUGGAGGUUGGAGAAAUAUAGAUGAUA